This 27-nucleotide small RNA is filed under the name Bombyx mori (domestic silkworm). RNAcentral's name for it is "ovarian small RNA-16001". The record is from RNAcentral. Lineage: Eukaryota; Metazoa; Arthropoda; Insecta; Lepidoptera; Bombycidae.
GAGUCGUCUGCGAACAGGGCCAACCUC